UCAACUCCACCAUCAGGGAAACCACCGGAAUUCAUUCAGAACUCGCCCACACCAAAAACAUCGGAGCUUGCUCACCCAGGAAGCAAAAAGUCCAUGUCCAUGUCCAUGCUUUACAAGGGAGUCAGUGCAGCCAAAAACCCAGGAACACCGUGACUUGGAUUCGAUCUGCCACCUCUGGACCGGAUAAGCAAGCGGGCCUAAGGUGUAUAAAAAAUGGUUUGGCCGGAUUAGUAAUCCGGUGCUUAUUUAGUCCAAAACUCACCAAACACCUGUUUUGUAUUAUAUAGAACUAUCAUGUGUCUUAUAUGGUGUUCCAAAUGAGGUUUAUGGUGCUAUUGAAUAUCUUGUAGGCUUUUUAGCCAAAAUGGUUUCUGAGGUUUGCAUAACUCAUCACUUUGGUCAUUGAGAUUUGAAAUCAUUAAAAGUAGUCCCUGAGUUUGUCCACCAUCAAUCAUUAAAAAAAACUAAUGAAAAGAGUUUGAAAACUUUGAGUUUGAACGAUAAGGACUAAAUAAAGGUGAAUGGUACCAGAAUUGAUUUUUCUAGUGUAAAAAUGUGGUUUUUCCGUCAAAGUAAACAGUAAUGAGAGUUUUUUGUUAAAGUUCCUUUUUUUUUUUUUUAUCUAUUUUGUGAUAACCAGAGUGGGCGGCCGCCUAGGUUUACAUUUCUGAGGGCCCCAAAUUUUAUGUAAAUCAAAUGAUGUGAUUGUUGAUAAUUGAAUUAUUACUUAACCGUU
Pyrus x bretschneideri (Chinese white pear) is the source of this 736-nucleotide long non-coding RNA. RefSeq lists it as uncharacterized. NCBI's taxonomy places the organism in Eukaryota, Viridiplantae, Streptophyta, Magnoliopsida, Rosales, Rosaceae. The record is from RefSeq and is a predicted model, not a curated record. The transcript is spliced from 2 exons.